AUUCAUUUCUCGUAAGUCGUAAUUAGACAAACACUAGAGCACAUGAGUUUCGCGGGAAGCUGCCUUUCAAUUUGGAGAAGUCCUGUGCUGAAAAGCCAAGGAAACCAUCACAAGUUCGUAUCAGUUGUACUCUGAAGUUCAGAGACAUUUCAGUUUUUGCUUCCAACUGUCAAUUUUGCCCCACUGAACUCUGAAGUAGGGAAGCUCAGGCUCCAUUUGUACAUGGGCUGAACCAGGGCCCAUGGGCCACAGAUUGGGCAUCAUCGAUCUCAUGCUCACCGCCACGGCGCCACCACGCGACCUCGCGCCGCCGUCACCGGCUCCGCCGGAACCCCAACUCCGACAGCGGCCGCUUCCAUUCGUCCCACACUACCAGCGCUGGGACACAGCGAGUUCUGAAAUGCGCCACCGCUUGUCGCUAACCGUAGAAGAUGGUCGCUUAAUCCAAGCAAGUCCGUACCCUGCUUGUCUGCCUGCCCGACCCCCUGCGGGCUGCGGCAGCUCGUGCUGCUCUCUGGAUCCCCUCCUACUAGGCACUGAGAAAGGUAGGCUGCCUGCCAUAUGAAGAGCUCUGAUAAGGGUGUCAUGUCAGCCAUUGGUAUGAAAGAACCUGAUAAGGUAGAGUUAGACAAAGCUUUGGUCUGUGUGAACAACAACUAGGAGUAAACUCUUGAAGACUUAAGAGUUGGACAAAGCUUUGGGCUAUGGCCUGAUCGAGAGAUAAAAAAAGUCUAUUAUCAACA
Sorghum bicolor (sorghum) is the source of this 743-nucleotide long non-coding RNA. RefSeq lists it as uncharacterized. Lineage: Eukaryota; Viridiplantae; Streptophyta; Magnoliopsida; Poales; Poaceae. The record is from RefSeq and is a predicted model, not a curated record. The transcript has 2 exons.